Non-coding RNA from Felis catus (domestic cat), 85 nucleotides. The record is from Rfam. NCBI's taxonomy places the organism in Eukaryota, Metazoa, Chordata, Mammalia, Carnivora, Felidae.
GCCUGGGUGGCUCAGUCGCUUAAGCGUCUGACUUCGGCUCAGGUCAUGAUCUUACGGUUCGUGGGUUCGAGCCCCGCGUCGGGCU